ACGCUGGCGGCGUGCUUAACACAUGCAAGUCGAACGAAAAUACCAAGCUUGCUUGGUUGAUUAGUGGCGAACGGGUGAGUAACACGUGAGUAACCUGCCCCUUACUUUCCUGGAUAACUGCUCGAAAGGGUAGCUAAUACGGGAUAUUCUGACCAUCCUGCAUGGGUUGGUUUGGAAAGGUUGUUUUUCUGGUAAGGGAUGGGCUCGCGGCCUAUCAGCUUGUUGGUGGGGUGAUGGCCUACCAAGGCUUUGACGGGUAGCCGGCCUGAGAGGGUGGACGGUCACACUGGGACUGAGAUACGGCCCAGACUCCUACGGGAGGCAGCAGUUGGGAAUAUUGCACAAUGGGCGCAAGCCUGAUGCAGCGACGCCGCGUGAGGGAUGAAGGCCUUCGGGUUGUAAACCUCUUUCGUCAGGGAACAAGGCACUGCUUUUUUGGUGGUGUUGAGGGUACCUGGAUAAGAAGCGCCGGCUAACUACGUGCCAGCAGCCGCGGUAAUACGUAGGGCGCAAGCGUUGUCCGGAAUUAUUGGGCGUAAAGAGCUCGUAGGCGGCUGGUCGCGUCUGUCGUGAAAACUUCCGGCUCAACCGGGGGCUUGCGGUGGGUACGGGCCGGCUAGAGUGCGGUAGGGGUAACUGGAACUCCUGGUGUAGCGGUGGAAUGCGCAGAUAUCAGGAAGAACACCGAUGGCGAAGGCAGGUUACUGGGCCGUUACUGACGCUGAGGAGCGAAAGCAUGGGGAGCGAACAGGAUUAGAUACCCUGGUAGUCCACGCUGUAAACGUUGGGCACUAGGUGUGAGGGCUCCUUUCCGGGGGUUUUGCGCCGUAGCUAACGCAUUAAGUGCCCCGCCUGGGGAGUACGGCCGCAAGGCUAAAAGUCAAAGGAAUUGACGGGGGCCCGCACAAGCGGCG
Molecule: ribosomal RNA, 914 nt
Filed under: uncultured bacterium
Lineage: Bacteria
Description: bacterial SSU rRNA
Rfam family: Bacterial small subunit ribosomal RNA
Source: RNAcentral